Molecule: ribosomal RNA, 397 nt
Filed under: uncultured bacterium
Lineage: Bacteria
Description: partial 16S ribosomal RNA
Rfam family: Bacterial small subunit ribosomal RNA
Source: RNAcentral
AUACGUAGGUGGCAAGCGUUGUCCGGAAUUAUUGGGCGUAAAGCGCGCGCAGGCGGUCCUUUAAGUCUGAUGUGAAAGCCCACGGCUCAACCGUGGAGGGUCAUUGGAAACUGGGGGACUUGAGUGCAGAAGAGGAAAGUGGAAUUCCAAGUGUAGCGGUGAAAUGCGUAGAGAUUUGGAGGAACACCAGUGGCGAAGGCGACUUUCUGGUCUGUAACGGACGCUGAGGCGCGAAAGCGUGGGGAGCAAACAGGAUUAGAUACCCUGGUAGUCCACGCCGUAAACGAUGAGUGCUAAGUGUUAGGGGGUUUCCGCCCCUUAGUGCUGCAGCUAACGCAUUAAGCACUCCGCCUGGGGAGUACGGUCGCAAGACUGAAACUCAAAUGAAUUGACGGGG